CCUACGGGAGGCAGCAGUGGGGAAUUUUGGACAAUGGACGCAAGUCUGAUCCAGCCAUGCCGCGUGUGGGAAGAAGGCCUUCGGGUUGUAAACCACUUUUGUCAGGGAAGAAACGGCUCGGGUUAAUACCUUGGGCUAAUGACGGUACCUGAAGAAUAAGCACCGGCUAACUACGUGCCAGCAGCCGCGGUAAUACGUAGGGUGCAAGCGUUAAUCGGAAUUACUGGGCGUAAAGCGUGCGCAGGCGGUUAUGCAAGACAGAUGUGAAAUCCCCGGGCUCAACCUGGGAACUGCAUUUGUGACUGCAUGGCUAGAGUACGGUAGAGGGGGAUGGAAUUCCGCGUGUAGCAGUGAAAUGCGUAGAUAUGCGGAGGAACACCGAUGGCGAAGGCAAUCCCCUGGACCUGUACUGACGCUCAUGCACGAAAGCGUGGGGAGCAAACAGGAUUAGAUACCCUGGUAGUCCACGCCCUAAACGAUGUCAACUGGUUGUUGGGAGGGUUUCUUCUCAGUAACGUAGCUAACGCGUGAAGUUGACCGCCUGGGGAGGACGGCGCGAAGUAGUAAGUUAAAGUUAGUAGUUAGUUAGCGNGNGAGNGCGACGGACGACGACGAGGAGGAGG
Molecule: ribosomal RNA, 623 nt
Filed under: uncultured bacterium
Lineage: Bacteria
Description: bacterial SSU rRNA
Rfam family: Bacterial small subunit ribosomal RNA (bases 1-542)
Source: RNAcentral